Molecule: long non-coding RNA, 466 nt
Organism: Galeopterus variegatus (Sunda flying lemur)
Lineage: Eukaryota; Metazoa; Chordata; Mammalia; Dermoptera; Cynocephalidae
Exons: 2
Source: RefSeq, a predicted model, not a curated record
AGGGAGGGGAAGGGGGGCUGGGGCCGUCCCCGCCGCUCCACAGUCUGAGGCAACUCCCUUUUCUGUACCGUCAGAGCGUCCCAGGCCGGGGAGGAACCUCAACGUCGCUCUGGAGCUCACACACGAGGGGAACCUCUUGGUCACGCCUCAGGACCAUGCGGGACUGGUCAGCAUGAGCCUCGGGACAAGCCUGGUUCGAGCCUCUCUUUCUCGCAUCUGCAGGUAUUCGCUGAGCCCAGCACGUUGUCCUCCCCGUUGGUGGGUUUCAUCCAGUCACAAGCCCUGUGAUGUUUUCACUGCAGCUCUCACUCUCUGUGGUUUUACCAGAUCUCUCUCGUGGUUUUGUCAGUAUUCCCAGGGGGGAGAUAAAGGAAAAUACGAGUUCUGCGAAACGUCUGUUGAUGUGCCGCACUGUAUUCAGCAACUUUCUGAGUAGAUUGAAGAAUAAAUACAUUCCGAAUUGUUA